GUCAGCAGCCGCGGUAACACCGGCGGCCCGAGUGGUGAUCGUGAUUAUUGGGUCUAAAGGGUCCGUAGCCGGUUUGGUCAGUCCUCCGGGAAAUCUGAUAGCUCAACUAUUAGGCUUUCGGGGGAUACUGCCAGACUUGGAACCGGGAGAGGUAAGAGGUACUACAGGGGUAGGAGUGAAAUCUUGUAAUCCCUGUGGGACCACCUGUGGCGAAGGCGUCUUACCAGAACGGGUUCGACGGUGAGGGACGAAAGCUGGGGGCACGAACCGGAUUAGAUACCCGGGUAGUCCCAGCCGUAAACGAUGCUCGCUAGGUGUCAGGCAUGGCGCGACCGUGUCUGGUGCCGCAGGGAAGCCGUGAAGCGAGCCACCUGGGAAGUACGGCCGCAAGGCUGAAACUUAAGGGAAUUGGCGGGGGAGCACAACAACGGGUGGAAGCCUGCGGUUUAAUUGGACUCAACGCCGGACAACUCACCGGGGGCGACAGCAAUAUGUAGGCCAAGCUGAAGACUUUGCCUGAAUCGCUGAGAAGUGGUGCAUGG
RNAcentral lists this ribosomal RNA (542 nucleotides) under uncultured archaeon. Its description in RNAcentral is "bacterial SSU rRNA". It matches the Rfam family "Archaeal small subunit ribosomal RNA", at positions 457 to 997 of the family's 1478-position model. The record is from RNAcentral.